AGGGCGUGGUGCGCGGCGCGCCGCGCCGCGCCAGACUUUGAUCAUGGCUCAGGAUGAACGCUAGCUACAGGCUUAACACAUGCAAGUCGAGGGGAAACGAUAUUGGAAGCUUGCUUCCGAUAGGCGUCGACCGGCGCACGGGUGAGUAACGCGUAUCCAACCUGCCCAUCACUUGGGAAUAACCUUGCGAAAGUAAGACUAAUGCCCAAUGACAUUUAUAGAAGGCAUCGGAAAUGAAUUAAAGAUUUAUCGGUGAUGGAUGGGGAUGCGUCUGAUUAGCUUGUUGGCGGGGUAACGGCCCACCAAGGCUACGAUCAGUAGGGGUUCUGAGAGGAAGGUCCCCCACAUUGGAACUGAGACACGGUCCAAACUCCUACGGGAGGCAGCAGUGAGGAAUAUUGGUCAAUGGGCGAGAGCCUGAACCAGCCAAGUAGCGUGCAGGAUGACGGCCCUAUGGGUUGUAAACUGCUUUUAUAGGGGAAUAAAGUGAGCCACGUGUGGUUUUUUGCAUGUACCCUAUGAAUAAGGACCGGCUAAUUCCGUGCCAGCAGCCGCGGUAAUACGGAAGGUUCGGGCGUUAUCCGGAUUUAUUGGGUUUAAAGGGAGCGUAGGCCGGAGAUUAAGCGUGUUGUGAAAUGUAGAUGCUCAACAUCUGCACUGCAGCGCGAACUGGUUUCCUUGAGUACGCAUAAAGUGGGCGGAAUUCGUGGUGUAGCGGUGAAAUGCUUAGAUAUCACGAAGAACUCCGAUUGCGAAGGCAGCUCACUGGNGCGCAACUGACGCUGAAGCUCGAAAGCGCGGGUAUCGAACAGGAUUAGAUACCCUGGUAGUCCGCGCGGUAAACGAUGGAUGCCCGCUGUUGGGCCAACUGGUUCAGCGGCCAAGCGAAAGCAUUAAGCAUCCCACCUGGGGAGUACGCCGGCAACGGUGCAACUCAAAGGAAUUGACGG
RNAcentral lists this ribosomal RNA (950 nucleotides) under uncultured bacterium. Its description in RNAcentral is "bacterial SSU rRNA". It matches the Rfam family "Bacterial small subunit ribosomal RNA", at positions 1 to 916 of the family's 1533-position model. The record is from RNAcentral.